This is a non-coding RNA of Pelobates cultripes (western spadefoot toad), 202 nucleotides long. The record is from the annotation of a GenBank genome assembly. NCBI's taxonomy places the organism in Eukaryota, Metazoa, Chordata, Amphibia, Anura, Pelobatidae.
CUCCCUUCCCAUCAACUGAGGGCCCUCAAAAUGGGGCGCUGUGUUCACGUCUACAUGGGUAUUGGAUGGUCUCGAAUGCUUUCAUCUAGAGUGUUUGUGUCACUGAGCGAGAUGGCCCUCCCUCUGCUCUUCGGCCCUCUAUUUACUGGAACGUGUUGACACCAGCUUUCCCAAAGUUUUGUGUGUUUGUUUACCUUGGAGC